RNAcentral lists this ribosomal RNA (478 nucleotides) under uncultured bacterium. RNAcentral's name for it is "partial 16S ribosomal RNA". It matches the Rfam family "Bacterial small subunit ribosomal RNA", at positions 28 to 507 of the family's 1533-position model. The record is from RNAcentral.
GACGAACGCUGGCGGCGUGCUUAACACAUGCAAGUCGAACGGGAUUUAGUAGACAGAAGCCUCGGCUAAAGAUUACUAAUGAGAGUGGCGAACGGGUGAGUAACGCGUGAGCAACCUGCCUAUGACAGUGGGAUAGCCUCGGGAAACCGGGAUUAAUACCGCAUAAAAUCGUAGAAACACAUGUUUUAACGGUCAAAGAUUUAUCGGUCAUAGAUGGGCUCGCGUCUGAUUAGCUAGUUGGUGAGAUAACAGCCCACCAAGGCGACGAUCAGUAGCCGGUCUGAGAGGAUGAACGGCCACAUUGGAACUGAGACACGGUCCAAACUCCUACGGGAGGCAGCAGUGGGGAAUAUUGCACAAUGGGGGAAACCCUGAUGCAGCGACGCCGCGUGAACGAAGAAGGUAUUCGUAUCGUAAAGUUCUGUCCUAUGGGAAGAUAACGACAGUACCAUAGAAGAAAGCUCCGGCUAAAUACGUG